UUACACUGAUUGUUUUGUUUUAAAAUGUUACUGGAAACACUUCAAAUAUAUCGGAAAUGUAUGCUGUCUCUAUUAGUAGUUCAUACCCAUGUAAUGUGGUCUUCUUCUUUUUUCAUUAUGGUGCUUUUGUUUCAUUUGACUUUAAAGUCAGGACAAUUAAAAAUGUCCAAAACUUUUGUUUUUUUUUUAGCAGUUGUUAGUGGUGAUGCGUGGGUUUAUUUAUUUAUUUUUUUUUUUUUUUUGGUGGGGGGGAGGAGGAGGGGAAGAGGAAGUGUGAAGAAGAAAUACCUGUUCUAGGAAAAACCUAUCCAAGAGACUAAGCAGUUUUCAAAUAUUACUGGCUGGAUUUUUCCAAUGUUUGAGAUAAAAGAGUGAAAAGUGCACAUUUUUUUCAGUGUUGGCUCAUUUUCCAGACAUCCAGGAGACUGCAGACAAGCAUAUCCAGAGAGGAGAGAACACAAAUUUGCAUUAGUCAUACCAAGACCUCAAAGACCUGAAAAGAAAGGAACUGUGUGCUUACUGAAGUCUACAUGUUCUUUAAUGAAUUUCAAGUGCAUUUGACAGUCUUUGUCUUCCCUGGAAAUGAGGUCCCAAGACUGCUAGAAAAGCCAGCCUGUUUGAAGUACAGUUUCUAAUCCCAAAAGAAAAUUCAAGUGAAAGGGUAGGUCAAUGCAGAGCACUGCAUGUAGCCAUAGCACA
Molecule: long non-coding RNA, 699 nt
Organism: Cygnus olor (mute swan)
Lineage: Eukaryota; Metazoa; Chordata; Aves; Anseriformes; Anatidae
Exons: 5
Source: RefSeq, a predicted model, not a curated record